UUUUCCAAUACCUUUACGUGUAUUUGAUAUCAUUACAGCUGUUUGACAACUUAACUUUUUCCUAUAUUUUUUUUGGUAUUUACAAUUCAGAGAGUACACCUUUUGUUUCCACCGUCUUCUUCCUAUUUGUGUUCUUGCUCUCCAGAUCUGUUUGUGUUCUUGCUGCAAGUAUGUUUCUUCUUCAACUAAUUCUGCACAUAUCUUCUUCUUUUUCCUUAAUUCUUUUCUUUUUGGGUUUUCCCCGUCCUUUUUAGUUUUGCUAUCCAAUGGCUGUAGAAUCCAUUCAUCUUCAACCUCAAACUUCAUUGUAUCUCGCUUUAUCUCUCUUUCCCCCCCAUUAGAAGCUUCAUCCACUUGCAACAAUUUCCCAUUGUUGAUCUUCUCUUUUGUAAAGCCUAAAUGCUUCUCUAUCUCAGUCCGAUACUGACACUGAUCUGGUUGAUAAGCCUAAUUAAGAAGAAAUUUUUUUUGGGAACGAGAUUCAAGUUUUUGCACCAUCUGCAGAAAGGCUUCAAUUAUUAGGUUUUAACUCAGGUAGUCUUCUUCAGUUUGAUUCCUGUUUAUUUUUCUUUUUAUGCUGUAACCCUACCCCUAUCAUCAAUUUCUCAUUCUUGGUCUUCGUUCUGCAUAGGAUUUUGAAAGAAGGAUUAUUGUUUGCUGUAGCCUGUAAGCAUUUGCUGCCUUUAUUUCAACAGAUAUAAAACUUCAACGAUGUGAUAAAUUUUUUCUCUUUUGUACUUAGAUUUUUCUCCCGCUCAUUGCUGCUAUAAGUUUUAACUCUGUCUCCGCGUCUUUUGUUCUUGGGGGUGGUCCUAUUAAAUUCAUAAGUUUAGGAAGAAAGCUUAUCAAAUAGAGAUUUUUUCUUCGACCAUAUUUUAAUUGUUAAUACGAUAUAUAAGGACUGCUAAAUUCAAAGGCUAUCAUUAAUUCAAGUUCUACCCCUGAAGUAGUUCAAAUUCAUGUCAGAAAUCAUUAAGUGGAUAGUAUAGUCAAUUGGGCUCUAAGUAUUCUAUAGAGUCCCAACUUCUUGACGAGUCAAUCUUUUAAAAUCAUUUAUCGGAUCUGACUAGCAACACACAAAGUUAUUUAUUUGAUUUAUGUACUACUGUAGGUUAUAGCUGAAGAUUUGACAACAUAAAUUCGCAUUUUCAUUAUUGUGGGAGGGGGUGUAGGACGACAAUAUUAUGGCGUUGCCAUCAAUGGUUGUAUCUACUGAUAGUAUGAGAAAGUUGAUAAUUUAUUUCAAUGUUUUAAUGGAUCUUUAGUAAUUUACUGAUCCUAUAUCGCAUUUAGACACAUGUUAGCAUUGAUUUGAAGUAGGUGGUUGAUCAAAGCUUUUCAUCUUCAGAAGCUCUGUCGUUUUUAAUUUGAAAUUUUUUAUUAUAAAGAAGCUGAUUUUUAGUUCGCUUAUAAAGAAUACCUACGUGGCUUCUACUCCUGCACCCACCUCACAGUCUCCUCAUUCUUAUCGCCUUCCUAAGUUUGCUCCUCUCUCUUUCAUCGUAGAUAUGAGAUUUCUUCUCUUUGUGCUCAAUCCAAGUUCUACUUACUUUGAUUUUAGCUUAGUUGAUUUUGUAGGUUUGUUUUUGCUGCUAUAGAGUAAGUUGGAGUGUUGUUCAAUUUGUGAGAAACAUUAUGCAGCGGAAAAAGUCAGAAAGGACCAAGAUUGAUUGCUCAAUGGACAUGUCUCUCUAGAUAAUCGGGAAGAAAGCUUUAGCCUCUUUGCUUUGCUGUUCGAGUCAUUUGGUGUGCAGUAAAGCUAUGUGCUGCUAAUUGCUUUUUACUAUUAUUUCUAUAUGUUGGUAUAAUACUGGUUCGGCCAACGACCACAUUUAAUUUUUUAUGCAUCCCUGGUCUUUUCCAUCC
Molecule: long non-coding RNA, 1866 nt
Organism: Nicotiana tabacum (common tobacco)
Lineage: Eukaryota; Viridiplantae; Streptophyta; Magnoliopsida; Solanales; Solanaceae
Source: RefSeq, a predicted model, not a curated record